RNA transcript from Betta splendens (Siamese fighting fish), 3702 nucleotides. It is a transcript of the gene named glycerophosphodiester phosphodiesterase domain containing 5b, with no coding region annotated. NCBI's taxonomy places the organism in Eukaryota, Metazoa, Chordata, Actinopteri, Anabantiformes, Osphronemidae. The transcript has 18 exons. The record is from RefSeq and is a predicted model, not a curated record.
UGGUGACGCUCGCGCUCUCACUGCCCGGUGGGGCUGGAGAUAAAAGCGCCGACCUCCUCUCCUCCCAGCAGUUCACACUGAUUUACUCCGCGUGCGUCGGUGCCGACGAAAAGACGAGGCGACACGUUUCGAUCCCAGCAAAGCACCGCGAAGCGCAGGAGCCGGUGUCUUAAAUCAUGGAACGGGAUUUGUUUUAGCUUCACUUCUCGUCCCUGCCCACCUCCGGUUUCGGUGCAAAACGGCCGCUGUCGGUAUUUGGGGCAUUGACCGGUGCGCCAAACUCCUCUCGCGCGUCACCUCGCGCGCGCUUCGCUCCCGGUUGUCUCCCAGGGGGCUCGUUUGUGCCGGUGAGAGGGAAAAAUCUGAGAACUCCCAACUUUCCCGUUGACCUCAGACCGUGGAAACAAAGAAAGUGGCAGCAGCCCUCUGACAGGUCACAUUCUAGUGAGUGGGAUGUUAGAGCUGUGGGAGCAGGCGUGACUGAAGUAGCAUGGUGAAACACCAACCCCUCCAGGUCUAUGAGCGCCAGCUGUGUUUGUCAUGUAUCACUGGGAUCUACGGUUGCCGAUGGAAACGCUAUCAACGUUCCCACGAUGACACCACCAAGUGGGAGCUGCUCUGGUCCUUCAUCCUGCUCUUUACAUUCUGCCUGCUGCUGGUCUGGUUCUACUUCUGGUGGGAGGCGCACAACGACUACAAUGAAUUCAACUGGUUGCUCUACAACCGCUCUGGGGAGUGGAGCGAUGGCACUGUUCCCAUCCUCGCCACUACUGCUGCCGGCUUCACCUACCUUUCAUUUUUAAUGGUUUUAGCACUUUGCCACAUUGCACUUGGGCAACAGUUGAAUUUGCACUGGCUCCACAAGAUAGGAGUGACUGCUGCCCUGCUCACCACCAUUGUUGGUGUGAUAUCUGUCAAUCAAACAUGGGCUCAGGAGUGGGACAUUGUCCACAUCUCCCUGCAGGCCACGGGUCCGUUCCUGCACAUAGGGGCUCUGGCUGCAGUCACAGCACUGUCCUGGAUUGUGGCUGGACAAGUUGCCCGCACAGAAAAAACAAAGUUCCAGGUCGUCGUAAUGAUGCUGUAUAUCUGUACGCUGCUGGGGCUCUACGUGGUGCCCAUCUACAUCACCUCUCCCUGCAUCAUGGACCCCACCGCCCUCAAACCACGACCCGAUGUCAUUGGCCAUCACGGAGCUCCUAUGCUUGCACCAGAGAACACACUGUGGUCCUUCCAGCGAGCUCUGCAGAUGAACGUCACUGGGUUCGAGACUGACGUGGCUGUCAGUUUGGACGGAGUGCCUUUCCUGAUGCAUGACCACACGCUGCGCAGGACCACAGACAUAGGGAAGGUCUUCCCAGGCAGACAGCUGGACAAAGCCUCGUCCUUCAACUGGACGGACCUGCAGCAGCUAAACGCGGGACAGUGGUUCCUGAAGAAUGACCCCUUCUGGACCGUGCACACGCUGUCCCCUCAUGAGAAGCACCUGAUCGCCAACCAGAGUGUGUGCAGCCUGGAGCAGCUCCUGAAGCUGGCCUCCUACCACAACAGCACGGUGGUCUUCAGGCUCAGCCGGCCUCCUCCAGAGCACCCCCGCUACCACAGCUGGAUUAAUGAUACACUGCAGGCCGUGCAGCAGUCUGGGAUUCCUCAGAGCCUGGUGAUGUGGACUCCAGACGAGCACAGGGCUCAGGUGAGGCAGCAGGCGCCCGGUCUGAUCCAGGCCUCGCUGGAGAAACAGAGUCCUCAAACGCUCCAACAGGACGGCAUCAGGAGGCUGCUGCUCCGAUACAACCAGGCGAACGCGCGGGAAGUCAGGGAGUACUCUGAGAAUGAAAUCCGCCUCACUCUCUACACCGUCAACGAGCCCUGGCUGUACUCGGUGCUCUGGUGCAGUGGGGUGUCUUCAGUCUCGUCCGAGGCCCCACACAUACUGAAAAAGGUGCCUUACCCCAUCUGGCUGAUGAGUCCGGAUGAAUACUGCCUGAUGUGGGUGUCUGCAGACCUCAUCUCCUUUGCUGUAGUCAUAGGAAUAUUCAUUUUCCAGAGCUAUCACAUGAUCAGGUAUCGGAUGAGCGGCAUGCGCAGCUACAACCCUGAGCAGAUUAUGCUGAGCGCAGCAGUCAGGAGGUCCAGUCGAGACCUCAACGUCAUGAAGGAGAAACUUAUCUUUUCUGGUCAACCCCAGUAGCCGCCUACCUCCUGCAUCCUUCGUGUGUGAUGUGCAUCUCCUCCUCUUCAUCCUACCUCCUCUCCAUCUACUCCGUCAGCAGUGACUCCUUCCUCUAGCCCAUGCAUCUGUCCCAUCACUGCCACCUCUGUCUAAUUCCCCUUUCCCCCAUUCACCCAUCCACUCGUGCACCAAACCUCCCCUGAAUUCCUCACAAUGGAGAUAACCUCCGAUGUAGGGAAACUCACAGACAUCCCAGUCUGCCCAAACAGGCAAGCUGUAGUACUGGGGGUCAGAGAGGUGAGGAAUGGAGUGGGCAGUGCUGAGGAGUUUUACGUGGACAAUGGCUACGACUACUACACCAAUCAGGCCAUCAGCCAGUGACCUGGCCUGUGUGAACCUGCUGAAGUGUGAUGGAGACGGCAACACUGACACCACCAUCCCUGUUUCAGAGCGAAGUCCCCUCCGCCGUCAUGCUACAACUAACAGACUGAUGGAGAAACAGCCACCCGGUUGCUUUGUAUAUAGCAUGUAAAUACAUUUUGUUUUUGCUCGUCAGACGUUGUGUGUAUGAAACGGGACUGCACGCACUUUUUGUUGAUGGACAACUGUGGGUGACUGAGUGGCGUCACCGAGUUCCCGACCUGCUUCUUUUUAAACUCGAGUGUCCAGAGCCUUUACAAAUUUCACUAAGUUUAUUUUAAACACUGUAAGUUUAUAUUCUUAGCUGAAGCAUUUUUUUUUUUUUUUUUUUACAAGACUUUAUUGCAGUAUAAGGCAAAAAGUCGAUGGCUCGUUACACUCCUGCCUUCAGUGUCUGCGCACUACUGUGCUGCUGUUCAUAAAAGUAAUAAUAUUUAUACUUUAAAGAAAAAAAACACAAGCUGUUUACAAAAGUCCUGCCUUGUCCUCCAGGUGAAAAAUUCACAUAGUCUAUGUAAAUAACUACUUUGAGGACGCUGAAGGCCCUCCCCCUCUACUUCUGACCAAUGAGCUAGUAGCUUGUGAGCUGUGCUCCCAGUGUAACAAGAACCAGUGAAAACGGAUUUUUUAAUGUGAUCUUUUUAAUGUGAAUGCAUUUGGAUAGUUUCUUUUUAAAUGUAUGGUGUACUGAGGGUAUUCUGGCUGGGUAUGCAUCGUUACCCCAUGUGCAGUGCUUUGUGGAUUAUUAUUGUACGUAACAGGAGAAUCAAUGUGAAUCAUGCUCCAGUGAACGAAGACAAGAACAAUGUGAGGUUUGAUAGUCACAGUAGCAGCAACCUGGUUGUGACAGAAGUUGAUUCACUUCCUAAACGUGACUUCAGUUUGCUAUUUUAGUGUCAGCAAGCAAGACGUGUUAAAUUGUGGUUUGUUUCUUGUGCAAAACUAAAGGCUGUAAAGGUAAACGAAGUGGACGCUGAAUGUGAAUGCUCCAGAAUCACUGAAGGGACACUACAGGUCACAACAGGUGGCACAAGUUCAGAAGGAUGUCGCCAUUUGUGUGUGUGGGGUUUUUGUGUAUUAAUGUGCCUCAGAAAUAAACAUUACAAUCU